ACCGUCUCCUUUUGGUGCAGGAGUUUGUAUAUGAACAUCUAGCACCAUUAGAAAAUGGU
RNAcentral lists this microRNA precursor (59 nucleotides) under Ciona intestinalis (vase tunicate). Its description in RNAcentral is "microRNA cin-mir-29 precursor". Its record names the gene cin-mir-29. Lineage: Eukaryota; Metazoa; Chordata; Ascidiacea; Phlebobranchia; Cionidae. The record is from miRBase by way of RNAcentral.